UAAGACAGAGGUGCCGAGCGUUAGGCGGAAUCACUGGGCUUAAAGCGUGUGUAGGCGGGCCGUUAAGUACCUUGUGAAAUCCCCCGGCUCAACCGGGGAACGGCUGGGUAUACUGGCGGUCUUGAGGGACCUAGGGGCGGACGGAACAAGCGGUGGAGCGGUGAAAUGCGUAGAUAUCGCUUGGAACGCCGACGGUGAAAACAGUCCGCUGGGGGUCACCUGACGCUGAGACACGAAAGCCAGGGGAGCGAACGGGAUUAGAUACCCCGGUAGUCCUGGCCCUAAACGAUGUCCACUAGGUCGCCGCCCCUUUGACGGGGGUGGCGGCCGAAGCAAAAGUGCUAAGUGGACCGCCUGGGAAGUACGGUCGCAAGGCUA
Molecule: ribosomal RNA, 378 nt
Filed under: uncultured bacterium
Lineage: Bacteria
Description: bacterial SSU rRNA
Rfam family: Bacterial small subunit ribosomal RNA
Source: RNAcentral